Molecule: ribosomal RNA, 434 nt
Filed under: uncultured Pseudobutyrivibrio sp.
Lineage: Bacteria; Bacillati; Bacillota; Clostridia; Lachnospirales; Lachnospiraceae
Description: partial 16S ribosomal RNA
Rfam family: Bacterial small subunit ribosomal RNA
Source: RNAcentral
ACGGAAGGCAGCAGUGGGGAAUAUUGCACAAUGGGCGAAAGCCUGAUGCAGCGACGCCGCGUGAGCGAAGAAGUAUUUCGGUAUGUAAAGCUCUAUCAGCAGGGAAGAUAAUGACGGUACCUGACUAAGAAGCACCGGCUAAAUACGUGCCAGCAGCCGCGGUAAUACGUACGGUGCAAGCGUUAUCCGGAUUUACUGGGUGUAAAGGGAGCGUAGGCGGUUUUACAAGUCUGAUGUGAAAGCCCGGGGCUCAACUCCGGUAUUGCAUUGGAAACUGUAGAACUAGAGUGUCGGAGGGGUAAGUGGAAUUCCUAGUGUAGCGGUGAAAUGCGUAGAUAUUAGGAGGAACACCAGUGGCGAAGGCGGCUUACUGGACGAUUACUGACGCUGAGGCUCGAAAGCGUGGGGAGCAAACAGGAUUAGAUACCCUGGUA